UAGGGAAUCUUCCGCAAUGGGCGAAAGCCUGACGGAGCAACGCCGCGUGAGUGAUGAAGGUCUUCGGAUCGUAAAACUCUGUUAUUAGGGAAUAACAAAUGUGUAAGUAACUAUGCACGUCUUGACGGUACCUAAUCAGAAAGCCACGGCUAACUACGUGCCAGCAGCCGCGGUAAUACGUAGGUGGCAAGCGUUAUCCGGAAUUAUUGGGCGUAAAGCGCGCGUAGGCGGUUUUUUAAGUCUGAUGUGAAAGCCCACGGCUCAACCGUGGAGGGUCAUUGGAAACUGGAAAACUUGAGUGCAGAAGAGGAAAGUGGAAUUCCAUGUGUAGCGGUGAAAUGCGCAGAGAUAUGGAGGAACACCAGUGGCGAAGGCGACUUUCUGGUCUGUAACUGACGCUGAUGUGCGAAAGCGUGGGGAUCAAACAGG
This 429-nucleotide ribosomal RNA is filed under the name Actinomycetes bacterium. RNAcentral describes it as "Actinobacteria bacterium partial 16S ribosomal RNA". It matches the Rfam family "Bacterial small subunit ribosomal RNA", at positions 355 to 776 of the family's 1533-position model. The record is from RNAcentral. Lineage: Bacteria; Bacillati; Actinomycetota; Actinomycetes.